UUGACGGGGCCCGCACAAGCGGUGGAGCAUGUGGUUCAAUUCGACGCAACGCGAAGAACCUUACCUGGGCUUGACAUCCGCUGACAGUCCCGAAAACGGGAUCUUCCCCGCAAGGGGACAGCGAGACAGGUGCUGCAUGGCUGUCGUCAGCUCGUGUCGUGAGAUGUUGGGUUAAGUCCCGCAACGAGCGCAACCCUCAUCCUUAGUUGCCAUCAUUGAGUUGGGAACUCUAAGGAAACUGCCUCGGUUAACGGGAGGAAGGUGGGGAUGACGUCAAGUCCUCAUGGCCUUUAUGUCCAGGGCUACACACGUGCUACAAUGGGCGGAACAAAGGGUUGCAAUACCGCAAGGUGGAGCUAAUCUCAAAAAACCGCUCUCAGUUCAGAUUGGAGUCUGCAACUCGACUCCAUGAAGGCGGAAUCGCUAGUAACCGCAGGUCAGCUAUACUGCGGUGAAUACGUUCCCGGGGCUU
RNAcentral lists this ribosomal RNA (472 nucleotides) under uncultured delta proteobacterium. RNAcentral describes it as "bacterial SSU rRNA". It matches the Rfam family "Bacterial small subunit ribosomal RNA", at positions 910 to 1382 of the family's 1533-position model. Lineage: Bacteria; Deltaproteobacteria. The record is from RNAcentral.